Molecule: ribosomal RNA, 253 nt
Filed under: uncultured bacterium
Lineage: Bacteria
Description: partial 16S ribosomal RNA
Rfam family: Bacterial small subunit ribosomal RNA
Source: RNAcentral
CACGUAGGGGACGAGCGUUGUCCGGAUUCAUUGGGCGUAAAGAGCGUGUAGGCGGCCCGGUAAGUCCGCUGUGAAAGUCGGGGGCUCAACCCUCGAAUGCCGGUGGAUACUGUCGGGCUAGAGUGCGGAAGAGGCGAGUGGAAUUCCUGGUGUAGCGGUGAAAUGCGCAGAUAUCAGGAGGAACACCAAUUGCGAAGGCAGCUCGCUGGGACGUGACUGACGCUGAGACGCGAAAGCGUGGGGAGCAAACAGG